UUGGAGGGCAAGUCUGGUGCCAGCAGCCGCGGUAAUUCCAGCUCCAAUAGCGUAUAUUAAAGUUGUUGCAGUUAAAAAGCCCGUAGUUGAAUUUCGGGAUCAGAGUGUCGGUCGUGCCUCGGUACGCACUGGUAUUAUUGGUUCCUACCUUCUGAAGAACCGCGAUGUCAUUAAUUUGGUGUCGUGGGGAAUCAGGACUGUUACUUUGAAAAAAUUAGAGUGUUUAAAGCAGGCUUACGCUUGAAUACAUUAGCAUGGAAUAAUGAAAUAGGACGUUGGAUUCUAUUUUGUUGGUUUCUAGGAUUGACGUAAUGAUUAAUAGGGAUAGUUGGGGGCAUUAGUAUUCAAUUGUCAGAGGUGAAAUUCUUGGAUUUAUUGAAGACUAACUACUGCGAAAGCAUUUGCCAAGGAUGUUUUCAUUAAUCAAGAACGAAAGUUAGGGGAUCGAAGACGAUCAGAUACCGUCGUAGUCUUAACCAUAAACUAUGCCGACUAGGGAUCGGAUGAUGUUAAUUUUUUAAUGACUCAUUCGGCGCCUUACGGGAAAC
Molecule: ribosomal RNA, 548 nt
Filed under: uncultured Glomeromycotina
Lineage: Eukaryota; Fungi; Glomeromycota
Description: SSU rRNA
Rfam family: Eukaryotic small subunit ribosomal RNA
Source: RNAcentral